This 460-nucleotide ribosomal RNA is filed under the name uncultured bacterium. RNAcentral describes it as "bacterial SSU rRNA". It matches the Rfam family "Bacterial small subunit ribosomal RNA", at positions 923 to 1379 of the family's 1533-position model. The record is from RNAcentral.
GCACAAGCGGUGGAGCAUGUGGAUUAAUUCGAUGCAACGCGAAGAACCUUACCAAGGCUUGACAUACGCCGGACCGGUCCAGAGAUGGAUCUUCCCCCUUGUGAGGCUGGUGUACAGGUGGUGCAUGGUUGUCGUCAGCUCGUGUCGUGAGAUGUUGGGUUAAGUCCCGCAACGAGCGCAACCCUCGUUCUAUGUUGCCAGCACGUGAUGGUGGGGACUCAUAGGAGACUGCCGGGGUCAACUCGGAGGAAGGUGGGGAUGACGUCAAAUCAUCAUGCCCCUUAUGUCUUGGGCUUCACGCAUGCUACAAUGGCCGGUACAAUGGGUUGCAAUACCGUGAGGUGGAGCUAAUCCCAAAAAGCCGGUCUCAGUUCGGAUCGUGGUCUGCAACUCGACCACGUGAAGUCGGAGUCGCUAGUAAUCGCAGAUCAGCAACGCUGCGGUGAAUACGUUCCCGGGC